GAUGAACGCUGGCGGCGUGCCUAAUACAUGCAAGUCGAGCGAACAGACGAGGAGCUUGCUCCUUCGACGUUAGCGGCGGACGAGUGAGUAACACGUAGGUAACCUACCUAUAAGACUGGGAUAACUUCGGGAAACCGGAGCUAAUACCGGAUAAUAUUUCGAACCGCAUGGUUCGAUAGUGAAAGAUGGCUUUGCUAUCACUUAUAGAUGGACCUGCGCCGUAUUAGCUAGUUGGUAAGGUAACGGCUUACCAAGGCAACGAUACGUAGCCGACCUGAGAGGGUGAUCGGCCACACUGGAACUGAGACACGGUCCAGACUCCUACGGGAGGCAGCAGUAGGGAAUCUUCCGCAAUGGGCGAAAGCCUGACGGAGCAACGCCGCGUGAGUGAUGAAGGUCUUCGGAUCGUAAAACUCUGUUAUUAGGGAAGAACAAACGUGUAAGUAACUGUGCACGUCUUGACGGUACCUAAUCAGAAAGCCACGGCUAACUACGUG
This 497-nucleotide ribosomal RNA is filed under the name uncultured bacterium. RNAcentral's name for it is "partial 16S ribosomal RNA". It matches the Rfam family "Bacterial small subunit ribosomal RNA", at positions 28 to 507 of the family's 1533-position model. The record is from RNAcentral.